This 2479-nucleotide ribosomal RNA is filed under the name Staphylococcus aureus F12874. RNAcentral's name for it is "bacterial LSU rRNA". It matches the Rfam family "Bacterial large subunit ribosomal RNA", at positions 439 to 2925 of the family's 2925-position model. The record is from RNAcentral. Lineage: Bacteria; Bacillati; Bacillota; Bacilli; Caryophanales; Staphylococcaceae.
GGAAUCUGGGAGGACCAUCUCCUAAGGCUAAAUACUCUCUAGUGACCGAUAGUGAACCAGUACCGUGAGGGAAAGGUGAAAAGCACCCCGGAAGGGGAGUGAAAUAGAACCUGAAACCGUGUGCUUACAAGUAGUCAGAGCCCGUUAAUGGGUGAUGGCGUGCCUUUUGUAGAAUGAACCGGCGAGUUACGAUUUGAUGCAAGGUUAAGCAGUAAAUGUGGAGCCGUAGCGAAAGCGAGUCUGAAUAGGGCGUUUAGUAUUUGGUCGUAGACCCGAAACCAGGUGAUCUACCCUUGGUCAGGUUGAAGUUCAGGUAACACUGAAUGGAGGACCGAACCGACUUACGUUGAAAAGUGAGCGGAUGAACUGAGGGUAGCGGAGAAAUUCCAAUCGAACCUGGAGAUAGCUGGUUCUCUCCGAAAUAGCUUUAGGGCUAGCCUCAAGUGAUGAUUAUUGGAGGUAGAGCACUGUUUGGACGAGGGGCCCCUCUCGGGUUACCGAAUUCAGACAAACUCCGAAUGCCAAUUAAUUUAACUUGGGAGUCAGAACAUGGGUGAUAAGGUCCGUGUUCGAAAGGGAAACAGCCCAGACCACCAGCUAAGGUCCCAAAAUAUAUGUUAAGUGGAAAAGGAUGUGGCGUUGCCCAGACAACUAGGAUGUUGGCUUAGAAGCAGCCAUCAUUUAAAGAGUGCGUAAUAGCUCACUAGUCGAGUGACACUGCGCCGAAAAUGUACCGGGGCUAAACAUAUUACCGAAGCUGUGGAUUGUCCUUUGGACAAUGGUAGGAGAGCGUUCUAAGGGCGUUGAAGCAUGAUCGUAAGGACAUGUGGAGCGCUUAGAAGUGAGAAUGCCGGUGUGAGUAGCGAAAGACGGGUGAGAAUCCCGUCCACCGAUUGACUAAGGUUUCCAGAGGAAGGCUCGUCCGCUCUGGGUUAGUCGGGUCCUAAGCUGAGGCCGACAGGCGUAGGCGAUGGAUAACAGGUUGAUAUUCCUGUACCACCUAUAAUCGUUUUAAUCGAUGAGGGGACGCAGUAGGAUAGGCGAAGCGUGCGAUUGGAUUGCACGUCUAAGCAGUAAGGCUGAGUAUUAGGCAAAUCCGGUACUCGUUAAGGCUGAGCUGUGAUGGGGAGAAGACAUUGAGUCUUCGAGUCGUUGAUUUCACACUGCCGAGAAAAGCCUCUAGAUAGAAAAUAGGUGCCCGUACCGCAAACCGACACAGGUAGUCAAGAUGAGAAUUCUAAGGUGAGCGAGCGAACUCUCGUUAAGGAACUCGGCAAAAUGACCCCGUAACUUCGGGAGAAGGGGUGCUCUUUAGGGUUAACGCCCAGAAGAGCCGCAGUGAAUAGGCCCAAGCGACUGUUUAUCAAAAACACAGGUCUCUGCUAAACCGUAAGGUGAUGUAUAGGGGCUGACGCCUGCCCGGUGCUGGAAGGUUAAGAGGAGUGGUUAGCUUCUGCGAAGCUACGAAUCGAAGCCCCAGUAAACGGCGGCCGUAACUAUAACGGUCCUAAGGUAGCGAAAUUCCUUGUCGGGUAAGUUCCGACCCGCACGAAAGGCGUAACGAUUUGGGCACUGUCUCAACGAGAGACUCGGUGAAAUCAUAGUACCUGUGAAGAUGCAGGUUACCCGCGACAGGACGGAAAGACCCCGUGGAGCUUUACUGUAGCCUGAUAUUGAAAUUCGGCACAGCUUGUACAGGAUAGGUAGGAGCCUUUGAAACGUGAGCGCUAGCUUACGUGGAGGCGCUGGUGGGAUACUACCCUAGCUGUGUUGGCUUUCUAACCCGCACCACUUAUCGUGGUGGGAGACAGUGUCAGGCGGGCAGUUUGACUGGGGCGGUCGCCUCCUAAAAGGUAACGGAGGCGCUCAAAGGUUCCCUCAGAAUGGUUGGAAAUCAUUCAUAGAGUGUAAAGGCAUAAGGGAGCUUGACUGCGAGACCUACAAGUCGAGCAGGGUCGAAAGACGGACUUAGUGAUCCGGUGGUUCCGCAUGGAAGGGCCAUCGCUCAACGGAUAAAAGCUACCCCGGGGAUAACAGGCUUAUCUCCCCCAAGAGUUCACAUCGACGGGGAGGUUUGGCACCUCGAUGUCGGCUCAUCGCAUCCUGGGGCUGUAGUCGGUCCCAAGGGUUGGGCUGUUCGCCCAUUAAAGCGGUACGCGAGCUGGGUUCAGAACGUCGUGAGACAGUUCGGUCCCUAUCCGUCGUGGGCGUAGGAAAUUUGAGAGGAGCUGUCCUUAGUACGAGAGGACCGGGAUGGACAUACCUCUGGUGUACCAGUUGUCGUGCCAACGGCAUAGCUGGGUAGCUAUGUGUGGACGGGAUAAGUGCUGAAAGCAUCUAAGCAUGAAGCCCCCCUCAAGAUGAGAUUUCCCAACUUCGGUUAUAAGAUCCCUCAAAGAUGAUGAGGUUAAUAGGUUCGAGGUGGAAGCAUGGUGACAUGUGGAGCUGACGAAUACUAAUCGAUCGAAGACUUAAUCAA